This 468-nucleotide ribosomal RNA is filed under the name uncultured bacterium. RNAcentral's name for it is "partial 16S ribosomal RNA". It matches the Rfam family "Bacterial small subunit ribosomal RNA", at positions 28 to 507 of the family's 1533-position model. The record is from RNAcentral.
GACGAACGCUGGCGGCGUGCUUAACACAUGCAAGUCGAACGGAAAGGCCCGGCUUUUGGGGGCUGCUCGAGGGGAGGAGGGGGGAGUAACACGUGAGUAAGCUGUCACUGACUGUGGGAUAACUUCAGGAAGCUGGGGCUAUUACGGCAUAGGAGCUCUUGCCGUAAGGUGGGGGUGGGAAAGUUUCGGCGGUUGGGGGUGGACUCGCGGCUUAUGAGCUUGAUGGUGGGGUAGUGGCUUAGCAAGGCUUUGACGGGUAGCCGGGCUGGGAGGGUGACCGGCCACAUUGGGACUGAGCUACGACCCAGCCUCCUACGGGAGGCAGGAGUGGAGAAUAUUGCACUGUGGGCUGAAGCCUAAUGCAGCACCGCAGCGUCCGGUAUGACGGCCUUCGCUUUGUGAACCGCUUUCGCCUGUCACGAGGCGUUAGUGACGGUAACGGGUGAAGAAGCACCGGCUAACUCCGUG